GAUGAACGCUGGCGGCGUGCCUAAUACAUGCAAGUCGAGCGAACAGACGAGGAGCUUGCUCCUCUGACGUUAGCGGCGGACGGGUGAGUAACACGUGGAUAACCUACCUAUAAGACUGGGAUAACUUCGGGAAACCGGAGCUAAUACCGGAUAAUAUAUUGAACCGCAUGGUUCAAUAGUGAAAGACGGUUUUGCUGUCACUUAUAGAUGUAUCCGCGCCGCAUUAGCUAGUUGGUAAGGUAACGGCUUACCAAGGCAACGAUGCGUAGCCGACCUGAGAGGGUGAUCGGCCACACUGGAACUGAGACACGGUCCAGACUCCUACGGGAGGCAGGAGUAGGGAAUCUUCCGCAAUGGGCGAAAGCCUGACGGAGCAACGCCGCGUGAGUGAUGAAGGUCUGCGGAUCGUAAAACUCUGUUAUUAGGGAAGAACAAAUGUGUAAGUAACUAUGCACGUCUUGACGGUACCUAAGCAGAAAGCCACGGCUAACUACGU
This 496-nucleotide ribosomal RNA is filed under the name uncultured bacterium. RNAcentral describes it as "partial 16S ribosomal RNA". It matches the Rfam family "Bacterial small subunit ribosomal RNA", at positions 28 to 506 of the family's 1533-position model. The record is from RNAcentral.